This 475-nucleotide ribosomal RNA is filed under the name Yarrowia lipolytica. RNAcentral describes it as "eukaryotic LSU rRNA". It matches the Rfam family "Eukaryotic large subunit ribosomal RNA", at positions 61 to 516 of the family's 3401-position model. Lineage: Eukaryota; Fungi; Ascomycota; Dipodascomycetes; Dipodascales. The record is from RNAcentral.
GAAACCAACAGGGAUUGCCUCAGUAACGGCGAGUGAAGCGGCAAAAGCUCAAAUUUGAAACCCUCGGGAUUGUAAUUUGAAGAUUUGGCAUUGGAGAAAGCUAACCCAAGUUGCUUGGAAUAGUACGUCAUAGAGGGUGACAACCCCGUCUGGCUAACCGUUCUCCAUGUAUUGCCUUAUCAAAGAGUCGAGUUGUUUGGGAAUGCAGCUCAAAGUGGGUGGUAAACUCCAUCUAAAGCUAAAUACUGGUGAGAGACCGAUAGCGAACAAGUACUGUGAAGGAAAGGUGAAAAGAACUUUGAAAAGAGAGUGAAAUAGUAUGUGAAAUUGUUGAUAGGGAAGGAAAUGAGUGGAGAGUGGCCGAGGUUUCAGCCGCCCCUCGUGGGCGGUGUACUGCCGACGCCGAGUCAUCGAUAGCGAGACGAGGGUUACAAAUGGGAGCGCCUUCGGGCGUUCUCCCCUAACCCUCCACACU